AUUGAACGCUGGCGGCAUGCCUUACACAUGCAAGUCGAACGGCAGCGGACCUUCGGUGCCGGCGAGUGGCGAACGGGUGAGUAAUAUAUCGGAACGUACCUUUCAGUGGGGGAGUAACGUAGCGAAAGUUACGCUAAUACCGCAUAUUCUGUGAGCAGGAAAGCAGGGGAUCGCAAGACCUUGCGCUGAUUGAGCGGCCGAUAUCAGAUUAGCUAGUUGGUGAGGUAAAGGCUCACCAAGGCGACGAUCUGUAGCGGGUCGUGAGAGGAUGAUCCGCCACACUGGAACUGAGACACGGUCCAGACUCCUACGGGAGGCAGCAGUGGGGGAA
This 331-nucleotide ribosomal RNA is filed under the name uncultured bacterium. Its description in RNAcentral is "bacterial SSU rRNA". It matches the Rfam family "Bacterial small subunit ribosomal RNA", at positions 30 to 362 of the family's 1533-position model. The record is from RNAcentral.